CAUAACCAUCCACACCCAACUAUUCCGUAAGGGUCCAAGGCCGCUCUUGUCCGAGAGCACGGCUAGUAUACCAGUUUGAUCAAACUCAGCGGAGAGGUGUGCACUUUUCCCGUAAGUCGUGUUACCCAUAUGCCCGGGCUUUGCAAGACCCACUAACACUGUCAAGGUGAGCGUGCAAGGAACACUAUGAAGCCUUCCAUAGGCCACGUCUAACCAGUUAGGGCCGCGAGGUUUCCUCGGCAGGUAGAUAUAGAGAACCCCC
RNAcentral lists this long non-coding RNA (262 nucleotides) under Sorghum bicolor (sorghum). RNAcentral describes it as "long non-coding RNA (SBIC_LNC002404)". Lineage: Eukaryota; Viridiplantae; Streptophyta; Magnoliopsida; Poales; Poaceae. The record is from RNAcentral.